GGCUGGGUGGCAGAGUGGUUAUGCAGCGGAUUGCAAAUCCGUGGACGCCGGUUCGAUUCCGACCUCAGCCU
This is a non-coding RNA of Psychrobacter sp. PRwf-1, 71 nucleotides long. The record is from Rfam. Lineage: Bacteria; Pseudomonadati; Pseudomonadota; Gammaproteobacteria; Moraxellales; Moraxellaceae.